RNAcentral lists this ribosomal RNA (444 nucleotides) under uncultured bacterium. RNAcentral's name for it is "partial 16S ribosomal RNA". It matches the Rfam family "Bacterial small subunit ribosomal RNA", at positions 354 to 796 of the family's 1533-position model. The record is from RNAcentral.
GUAGGGAAUAUUGGGCAAUGGUCGGAAGACUGACCCAGCCAUGCCGCGUGCAGGAAGACGGCCCUCUGGGUUGUAAACUGCUUUUAUCUGGGAAGAAAAAGGCCAUGCGUGGCAAAUUGCCGGUACCAGAUGAAUAAGCACCGGCUAACUCCAUGCCAGCAGCCGCGGUAAUACGGAGGGUGCGAGCGUUGUCCGGAUUUAUUGGGUUUAAAGGGUGCGUAGGCGGCUGAUUAAGUCAGCGGUGAAAGACUUCGGCUUAACCGGAGCAGUGCCGUUGAUACUGGUUGGCUGGAGUGUCGGAGGGGUACAUGGAAUUGAUGGGGUAGCGGUGAAAUGCAUAGAUACCAUCAGGAACACCGAUAGCGAAGGCAUUGUACUGGCCGACAACUGACGCUGAUGCACGAAAGUGUGGGGAUCGAACAGGAUUAGAAACCCGGGUAGUCC